This 253-nucleotide ribosomal RNA is filed under the name uncultured bacterium. RNAcentral's name for it is "partial 16S ribosomal RNA". It matches the Rfam family "Bacterial small subunit ribosomal RNA", at positions 524 to 776 of the family's 1533-position model. The record is from RNAcentral.
UACGGAGGGAGCUAGCGUUGUUCGGAAUUACUGGGCGUAAAGAGCGUGUAGGCGGCCAAGCAGGUCCGUUGUGAAAACUGGAGGCUUAACCUCCAGACGUCGACGGAAACCGCGUGGCUAGAGUCCGGAAGAGGAGAGUGGAAUUCCUGGUGUAGCGGUGAAAUGCGCAGAUAUCAGGAAGAACACCAAUGGCGAAGGCAGCUCUCUGGGACGGUACUGACGCUGAGACGCGAAAGCGUGGGGAGCGAACAGG